AGGUGGGGCUGUAAUCUCGUAAUUCCCAGUCAAAAGAGGUAGGAAGGGAUGCUGAGGACCCAGGGAUACUGAUGAUUGGGCUGACCCAGAAGUGGCCAUCUUUGUGGAAACCAGUCAUCCAGAGUAAAGUCAUAGGGCUCAAAGUCUUUCCGGAAGCGGCGAGCCAGGGUCUCCUCGUCUUCCUUGCUGAUCUGACACUGCCUCCAGUCAGACUUAUCAGGAACAUUAAGGAUGGCUUCACUGGCCAGGACCUCCCUGCAGAAAUAGCACAAAGAAGUCAAAAUGGAAACUAUCAGCCUGAGCUCUCCUCAACAUCACCCAAAGGAGGUAUGCAAAUUUCUCUGACUUUGCUCUCCUGCCCUGAGUGCCA
RNAcentral lists this long non-coding RNA (370 nucleotides) under Homo sapiens (human). RNAcentral's name for it is "HSALNT0167030". Lineage: Eukaryota; Metazoa; Chordata; Mammalia; Primates; Hominidae. The record is from RNAcentral.